This 396-nucleotide ribosomal RNA is filed under the name uncultured bacterium. RNAcentral's name for it is "partial 16S ribosomal RNA". It matches the Rfam family "Bacterial small subunit ribosomal RNA", at positions 338 to 731 of the family's 1533-position model. The record is from RNAcentral.
CCUACGGGUGGCAGCAGUGAGGAAUAUUGGUCAAUGGGCGAGAGCCUGAACCAGCCAAGUCGCGUGAAGGAUGACGGCCCUACGGGUUGUAAACUUCUUUUGUCAGGGAGCAAUUGGGUCCACGCGUGGGCUUAGCGAGAGUACCUGAAGAAAAAGCAUCGGCUAACUCGGUGCCAGCAGCCGCGGUAAUACGGGGGAUGCGAGCGUUAUCCGGUUUUUUUGGGUUUAAAGGGUGCGUAGGGGGAAUUUCAAGUCGGCGGUAAAAAUUCGGGGCCAAACCCCGUCGUGCCGUUGAAACUGGUGUUCUUGAGUGGGCGAGAAGUAGGCGGAAUGCGUGGUGUAGCGGUGAAAUGCAUAGAUAUCACGCAGAACUCCGAUUGCGAAGGCAGCAUACCG